This 645-nucleotide long non-coding RNA is filed under the name Brassica napus (rape). RNAcentral describes it as "long non-coding RNA (BNAP_LNC008405)". The record is from RNAcentral. Lineage: Eukaryota; Viridiplantae; Streptophyta; Magnoliopsida; Brassicales; Brassicaceae.
AAGAAUCCUAUUUGGAAAGCAGAGAGAGAAAGCAGAUCUGGUUUUGGGUCCGGCGUACGGCCGGCGCGUGAGCGUUCGUGCCGUCGCCGGAGCCCAUUUUCUUUAGGUUAAAAUCGUUUCCCGACUUCUUUUUCACCUCCUCUUCCUAUUCGUUUUGUCGGAGCUCUGUCCAGUUCCAAACCGGAGUGGUCAACUCGGGGAGUGAACAGAUCCACGCGGUGGCGCGGUGGCUGGAGUAACGACGCGACUGGGUGAAGGGUGAGGUGGGGUGAUGUCGGUUUGUCAGAUUAGGGUUUCCCGGGAGGUGGAGGCUCCUUCAGAUCCAUCGCCGCCGGUCUAGUUUCCGGGAGGCGGAGGCUUCGUUAGCUCCGCUUUCGCCGGCUUCGGUUUCCGGGGGGUGAAGGCGGUCUUUGCCUUGCGCCGCCGGCUUUUAGUCCCCUAGGUUUGUUAGGGUUUUGUUUUUAUCUUUGGUUUUUGCGGUUUCAGUUUGGUCUAGUUGGAGGAGUUCGCGUCGAAAGCCGUUCGAAGCUCUCCGUUGUUGAAGGUGUGGUUCUGCCGGCGAAGCUUUCUUCCCAGUUCCGGUGACGAAAGGAGGCGGAUGAGAUCUCGGGUUACCGAUUGAUCUAUCCACUAUUGGGAACUCGC